RNAcentral lists this ribosomal RNA (602 nucleotides) under Reyranella sp. RNAcentral describes it as "bacterial SSU rRNA". It matches the Rfam family "Bacterial small subunit ribosomal RNA", at positions 107 to 745 of the family's 1533-position model. Lineage: Bacteria; Pseudomonadati; Pseudomonadota; Alphaproteobacteria; Hyphomicrobiales; Reyranellaceae. The record is from RNAcentral.
UGAGUAACACGUGGAUAUCUGCCUUUUGGUUCGGGAUAACCCUGGGAAACUAGGGCUAAUACCGAAUGGUUCCUACGGGAUAAAGAUUUAUCGCCAAAAGAUGAGUCCGCGUCCGAUUAGCUAGUUGGUGAGGUAAUGGCUCACCAAGGCGACGAUCGGUAGCUGGUCUGAGAGGACGAUCAGCCACACUGGGACUGAGACACGGCCCAGACUCCUACGGGAGGCAGCAGUGGGGAAUAUUGGACAAUGGGGGCAACCCUGAUCCAGCCAUGCCGCGUGAGUGAUGAAGGCCUUCGGGUUGUAAAGCUCUUUUGGCGGGGACGAUGAUGACGGUACCCGCAGAAUAAGCCCCGGCUAACUUCGUGCCAGCAGCCGCGGUAAGACGAAGGGGGCUAGCGUUGUUCGGAAUUACUGGGCGUAAAGCGCGUGUAGGCGGUUGUUCAAGUCAGGUGUGAAAGCCUUGAGCUCAACUCAAGAAAUGCACUUGAUACUGGAUGACUAGAGGACCGGAGAGGAUAGUGGAAUUCCCAGUGUAGUGGUGAAAUACGUAGAGAUUGGGAAGAACACCAGUGGCGAAGGCGGCUAUCUGGACGGUACUGACG